GAGUGAGUGGCGGACGGGUGAGUAACACGUGGGUAACCUGCCCUAAAGUGGGGGAUAACAUUUGGAAACAGAUGCUAAUACCGCAUAAAACCUAACACCGCAUGGUGUAGGGUUGAAAGAUGGUUUCGGCUAUCACUUUAGGAUGGACCCGCGGUGCAUUAGUUAGUUGGUGAGGUAAAGGCUCACCAAGACCGUGAUGCAUAGCCGACCUGAGAGGGUAAUCGGCCACACUGGGACUGAGACACGGCCCAGACUCCUACGGAGGCAGCAGUUAGGGAAUCUUCCACAAUGGACGAAAGUCUGAUGGAGCAACGCCGCGUGAGUGAAGAAGGUUUUCGGAUCGUAAAACUCUGUUGUUGGAGAAGAAUGUAUCUGAUAGUAACUGAUCAGGUAGUGACGGUAUCCAACCAGAAAGCCACGGCUAACUACGUG
Molecule: ribosomal RNA, 432 nt
Filed under: uncultured bacterium
Lineage: Bacteria
Description: bacterial SSU rRNA
Rfam family: Bacterial small subunit ribosomal RNA
Source: RNAcentral